This 525-nucleotide ribosomal RNA is filed under the name Mesorhizobium sp. Its description in RNAcentral is "partial 23S ribosomal RNA". It matches the Rfam family "Bacterial large subunit ribosomal RNA", at positions 1252 to 1780 of the family's 2925-position model. The record is from RNAcentral. Lineage: Bacteria; Pseudomonadati; Pseudomonadota; Alphaproteobacteria; Hyphomicrobiales; Phyllobacteriaceae. RNAcentral also lists the same sequence under 2 other names.
GAAGGUGGCCUGUGAGGGCUGCUGGAGGUAUCAGAAGUGCGAAUGCUGACAUAAGUAACGAUAAAGCGGGUGAAAAGCCCGCUCGCCGGAAGACCAAGGGUUCCUGUCCAACGUUAAUCGGGGCAGGGUGAGUCGACCCCUAAGGCGAGGCCGAAAGGCGUAGUCGAUGGGAAACAGGUUAAUAUUCCUGUACUUGGUGUUACUGCGAAGGGGGGACGGAGAAGGCUAUGUCAGCCGGGCGACGGUUGUCCCGGUUUAAGCGUGUAGGUGUGUGUUCCAGGCAAAUCCGGUUCACUUUAACACUGAGGCGUGAUGACGAGGCACUACGGUGCUGAAGUGAUAAAUGCCCUGCUUCCAGGAAAAGCCUCUAAGCAUCAGGUAACACGAAAUCGUACCCCAAACCGACACAGGUGGUCAGGUAGAGAAUACCAAGGCGCUUGAGAGAACUCGGGUGAAGGAACUAGGCAAAAUGGUGCCGUAACUUCGGGAGAAGGCACGCUGAUAUGUAGGUGAAGCCCCUGCGGG